Transfer RNA from Felis catus (domestic cat), 73 nucleotides. It matches the Rfam family "tRNA". Rfam says of the family: Transfer RNA (tRNA) molecules are approximately 80 nucleotides in length. Their secondary structure includes four short double-helical elements and three loops (D, anti-codon, and T loops). Further hydrogen bonds mediate the characteristic L-shaped molecular structure. tRNAs have two regions of fundamental functional importance: the anti-codon, which is responsible for specific mRNA codon recognition, and the 3' end, to which the tRNAs corresponding amino acid is attached (by aminoacyl-tRNA synthetases). tRNAs cope with the degeneracy of the genetic code in two manners: having more than one tRNA (with a specific anti-codon) for a particular amino acid; and 'wobble' base-pairing, i.e. permitting non-standard base-pairing at the 3rd anti-codon position. Lineage: Eukaryota; Metazoa; Chordata; Mammalia; Carnivora; Felidae. The record is from Rfam.
ACCUGGCUGGCUCAGUUGCUAGAGCAUGUGACUCUUGAUCUUGGGGUUGUGAGUUCAAGCCCCACGUUGGGCA